AAAGUACUCCCUCCAUCCCAAAAUUCUUAUCUUAAAUUUGUCCAGAUAUGGAUGUAUUUAAUACUAAAACGUGACUUGAUACAUAUGUAUUUAGACAAAUAUAAGACAAGAAUUUUGGGGCGAAGGGCGUAGUUA
This is a non-coding RNA of Triticum aestivum (bread wheat), 135 nucleotides long. NCBI's taxonomy places the organism in Eukaryota, Viridiplantae, Streptophyta, Magnoliopsida, Poales, Poaceae. The record is from Rfam.